AUGGUGCAAAUGAUGCUUCAUUUUCCACAUUGCCUGCAGAUGCAUUUUCACUGACCGACUGUAAUGGCUUCAGUUCUUCUGAGAGACAAUCAUGUAUGGUUCAUGUACCUAUCUGUAUCCAAUGUUAAUGUAUGUGUAAUGUCUGGAGUCAUUAACUAUACUUGAGUAACACUGUGUCUGUUGCUGAUACUUACUAGCAUCUUCAGCUUCUUCAAGGCCCAUAUCUGCUGCCAGCAACGUCUCACCUGGGCCAUGCAUGAGUAGUAAUAGUGUUGAAGUCAAAUUUUCACCAUCUUCUGAAGAUCGAGACAGCAAACGUCCUCUUUCUCAGCCUUUUCCUCUUCCCCAAAAUUUUUCAGCAGAUGUUGAGGCUGAUCUGAAGAAGGGGUCUACGUCUGUUACAACUAUGGCAAAUUUGUCACUGCUGUUGCACAUGGAGUCUUUGCAUUCAAAUGCUAUCCAUCAUCAAUUGACUUUACUCUGGUCACCGAUUGAAUAUGCACCAAGUACCUUUUCUUAAGGAGUAACUGGUUGAGAUGCGUCGCAACAUGUUUAAAAGGUUUUGGAGAUCUGGAGGUUUUGGCAACAUCAAGUUGUUGCCAAGAGGAUCAACAGCCACAACCCAAAAAGAAUCAUUAACUGCUAAGUCCAAGGCCAUACCCCACCUCAACGAGGACAAGAUGUUCAUUUCUAUAAUCGACAUGUUAAGGAGCUUCAGGAGUUGUACAAAAGAACAAUCCCUCUAAAGAAGUUGUGGUGCAACUGAUGAACAGACUUUCUUUUCGAAGGAGUUUGGUAAUAAGUGAUCCUCAGGCUGCGUCAGCAAUUCUUGCAACCCAGCCAUCUUUGAGAUGUGUUGAUGAAGUUAGCUAGUUUUGAAAAGCUUUCCUUCUUAUGUGCUGUUAUGCUUCAUGUAUUUUAAGUGCUUCCUUGAAUUUGGUCGAAUUUUGGGGGAAGCUGAUGUGAAGGAGACAAUGUCAGUUGAUUGGAAGACUAGAUGGUGUGGGAAGAUCAUUAAUCUUGCAAAGCAAGAGCAGCAUCAUCAUGCCAUAAAGUGUUUGAUGGACCUGUACUUUUCUCAAAGAGAAUCAGAAGACUUAUUGUGUGAAGGAGCUCUGUUGUUGGCUGGUGUCUUUGAGUACAACGAAGAAGGCUAAGUUGUCUCAUGGACUUCAUGUUGUAAAGUUCUUAGCUUAGCUCUAGAGCAUAGUUGGCUGUUCUAGAAUUCAAGUGAUGUUAAUCAAGAAGCUACAAAGCAAGAGAACAACUGUCCAAUGAUUAACAACUGAUGGUAGUCCAAGAGAGUAUUUUCUUGUCAUUGAGAAGGCUAUACUAGGAGUAGUUAAGGUUGCAGCAGAUAUCCCUGGGGCUCUGCUGGCAGCCUUUUACGUUUUAACAUCUCGUAUCCUGACAGUUUAAAGCUGUUUCACUUGAUCCUGGAAACCUGUCUGGCAAAGUAGUCUUCAGAGAAAACAACAGUUGCCACAAAGUGCCUCCUAAGCACCAUUACCCACAUGGAGUGCUAGUUUGGACAGAUUAUCAAGAACUAUGUGGAUAUUAGUGUGAUUGGUAUUUCAGCAUGUCUUGUAGGAUGUUCCAAAUGUAUGGUAUACGUAUCAGUUGUAAAAAUAUAGUAUGAGUUGAAUC
This is a long non-coding RNA of Corticium candelabrum, 1647 nucleotides long. RefSeq lists it as uncharacterized. The transcript has 7 exons. The record is from RefSeq and is a predicted model, not a curated record. NCBI's taxonomy places the organism in Eukaryota, Metazoa, Porifera, Homoscleromorpha, Homosclerophorida, Plakinidae.